UGUGAAGGAGUACAAAAAUGAAGGUGCCUUGGCUUCAAAACAGCGUCCUCUGUUAGUAAUCUCUGUGUGUAUAUAUAAAAAUCGUUGGGCGGAGCUCGAGACAACGAGGUACACCGUUUGAAAGAGAGGAACCUUAACAGCGGUGGGUACGCACGCACGCUAUUGCAUCCAUUGCUAUUUUUCCUAAUGGCAACGGAGGAAAAAAGGAAAUCGGUGCCGCAGGCUGUAUCAGCAGUCGGCUCGUUACCGACACCUCAGGGCUACAAUAAUAAUAACAACAACAAUAACAAUAAAGACGGCGAGGUAAGCGAGAAUACGACCACCUCGAGCGCUACCGAAUCAAGUGGGACGGAAACGCACAGCAUCGGGAACGGUUGUGGAGUCAAUACAACAGUGGGAAAUAACGGGAAAUGGGUCCGUUUGAACAUCGGCGGUACUGUAUUCCUCACAACGCGGCAUACCCUACUCAAAGAACAGACUUCCUUUCUCUAUCGGCUCUGUCAACAACAGGACUUGCAUUCGGACACGGAUGAGACAGGGGCCUAUGUGAUAGACAGAGACCCCACCUACUUUGGCCCCAUCCUCAACUACCUGCGACACGGCAAACUAGUCUACAACAAGGAGUUGGCUGAAGAAGGUGUGUUGGAGGAGGCUGAGUUCUACAACAUCACUCCUCUGAUCAAACUGAUCAAGGAGCGGAUCCUGGAGCGGGACUGUAAAGUCACACAGCAGGUACCUCCUAAACAUGUGUACCGGGUGUUGCAGUGCCAGGAGGAGGAGCUGACUCAGAUGGUUUCCACCAUGUCGGACGGCUGGAAGUUUGAGCAGGUCAGCGUACGCGCCUGCAGAAAGCCCCGCACUGGACUGCUCUGGACUAUGGUGAACAUUGGUUCGUCGUACAGCUAUGGGACAGAGGACCAGGCAGAGUUUCUGUGUGUGGUGUCCAAGGAGCUACACACACCUGGCUCAGGCCUGGGCACCGAACAGAGCCACAAGACCAAGGCUUCAGAGGUGCAGGAGGAGGAGGGAAGAGAGAGAAAUACCACCCUGAAUGAGUGCAAAAGGGAAUGACAGUCUUGUGUCAAUGUUCCAAGGACGUGAAUGGGUGAGGAUCCAUGCUAGUGUUGUUGGCUGGUGGUGGCGAGUAGCGGUAUUAGACUGUGUGAUCAAAAGGGAUCCAGGGCUAUUUCACAGCAUGGCAUUCCCUUACCCCAAACUCAACACAGUAAUCAAAGGCCAAGGAUGGACUGUAACUGGAUGGACUUAUUUUUUAAAAGAUUUUUACAAUAUGUAGAGAAAAAAAGCAGGCCUUGAACUUUUGCUCCCCGUCAAAAAAAGUUGGCUUCUAUUUGUUUGGAAUACUAAUUGUGAUGCCAGAGAGCUUGAUAUUGCUCUGGGGCCUUUGCGUCCUGCCUGGGACAUGAUCUGAUCAGCGGCAUAACCCAGCUGUUCUGAUGAUGAGCUAGUCUCCCUAGGAAGAUGGGUUGCCUCUCACAUGAACAAUGCCCUAAUUGCCUGUUACGAACCUCUUUGGCCCUGCAGUCUAGGGAGGAUGGAAACGAGACCCGUAACAUAUCUCAUGCAAAUCAACCCAGUGAAAAACUUUUUCACAUCCAUGGAUCCCGGAUGUACUAGAGAGAUA
Salvelinus namaycush (lake trout) is the source of this 1642-nucleotide RNA transcript. It is a transcript of the gene named BTB/POZ domain-containing protein KCTD5-like, with no coding region annotated. The transcript is spliced from 7 exons. The record is from RefSeq and is a predicted model, not a curated record. Lineage: Eukaryota; Metazoa; Chordata; Actinopteri; Salmoniformes; Salmonidae.